Molecule: ribosomal RNA, 473 nt
Filed under: uncultured bacterium
Lineage: Bacteria
Description: bacterial SSU rRNA
Rfam family: Bacterial small subunit ribosomal RNA
Source: RNAcentral
AACGAACGCUGGCGGCGCGCUUAACACAUGCAAGUCGAGCGGUCUCGCAAGGGACAGCGGCGAACGGGUGCGUAACACGUGGGUAAUCUGCCCUGGAGUGGGGGAUAACUCGCCGAAAGGCGAGCUAAUACCGCAUGAGCUCACGGCCUCUUCGGAGGCUGAGAGAAAAGGAGCAAUCCGCUCCAGGAUGAGCCCGCGGCCCAUCAGCUAGUUGGCGGGGUAACGGCCCACCAAGGCAACGACGGGUAGCUGGUCUGAGAGGACGACCAGCCACACUGGAACUGAGACACGGUCCAGACUCCUACGGGAGGCAGCAGUGGGGAAUCUUGCGCAAUGGGCGAAAGCCUGACGCAGCGACGCCGUGUGUGCGAUGAAGGUUUUCGGAUCGUAAAGCACUGUCGCCCGGGAAAAAGAAAUGAUGGUACCGGGAGAGGAAGCACCGGCUAACUCUGUGCCAGCAGCCGCCGUAACAC